This is a long non-coding RNA of Mus pahari (shrew mouse), 467 nucleotides long. RefSeq lists it as uncharacterized. The record is from RefSeq and is a predicted model, not a curated record. The transcript has 4 exons. Lineage: Eukaryota; Metazoa; Chordata; Mammalia; Rodentia; Muridae.
UUCCCUAGAGACCAAACUCAGGGCCUUGUGCACUCAAGACCAAGUAUUACAUCUCCAGCCCUAACUUUCCACCUUCACAACAGAAGAAACCUAGGAGCGGUGGGAGUAAGAGAAGCACAAACUGAGUGAUGUAGAAAGCAGAUGGGAAAGAGGAUGCAUGAUGAACCAAAGGCCUGUGACCAGAGAAAAGCUGAGACAGACAUGACCAGGCCUGCCCUGUGGUCACUAGAAGCAGACGCUCACCAGGAAGGUUAAAACGGCUUGACCUGACCAAAGAACAGUACUGGAUCUUGAACACCCGGACCCAAUACCUGCUGGAAUGAGCCACACUUCACUCAUCCAGGAGAACAAAUGUUCCUAGCAGUUUGUAUUAGUACACCAGAAAGGCUGAAGAAAACGGAACUGAGAAAACACUAUCAGUCAUUUCCAAGUUGCUUGCCUUGCGAGGAGAAGCAGAAGGCAGCCCA